Molecule: ribosomal RNA, 491 nt
Filed under: uncultured bacterium
Lineage: Bacteria
Description: partial 16S ribosomal RNA
Rfam family: Bacterial small subunit ribosomal RNA
Source: RNAcentral
AUUGAACGCUGGCGGCAGGCCUAACACAUGCAAGUCGAACGGUAACAGGAAGAAGCUUGCUUCUUUGCUGACGAGUGGCGGACGGGUGAGUAAUGUCUGGGAAACUGCCUGAUGGAGGGGGAUAACUACUGGAAACGGUAGCUAAUACCGCAUAACGUCGCAAGACCAAAGAGGGGGACCUUCGGGCCUCUUGCCAUCGGAUGUGCCCAGAUGGGAUUAGCUUGUUGGUGGGGUAACGGCUCACCAAGGCGACGAUCCCUAGCUGGUCUGAGAGGAUGACCAGCCACACUGGGACUGAGACACGGUCCAGACUCCUACAGGAGGCAGCAGUGGGGAAUAUUGCACAAUGGGCGCAAGCCUGGUGCAGCCAUGCCGCGUGUAUGAAGAAGGCCUUCGGGUUGUAAAGUACUUUCAGCGGGGAGGAAGGGAGUAAAGUUAAUACCGUUGCUCAUUGACGUGACCCGCAGAAGAAGCACCGGCUAACUCCGUGC